GAUGAAGAACGUAGCGAAAUGCGAUAAGUAGUGUGAAUUGCAGAAUUCAGUGAAUCAUCGAAUCUUUGAACGCACAUUGCGCCCCUUGGUAUUCCGGGGGGCAUGCCUGUCCGAGCGUCAUUACAACCCUCAAGCUCAGCUUGGUAUUGGGCCCCGCCGACCCGGCGGGCCCUAAAGUCAGUGGCGGUGCCGUCCGGCUCCGAGCGUAGUAAUUCUUCUCGCUCUGGAGGUCCGGUCGUGUGCUCGCCAGCAACCCCCAAUUUUUUUCAGGUUGACCUCGGAUCAGGUAGGGAUACCCGCUGAACUUAAGCAUAUCAAUAAGCGGAGGA
This 329-nucleotide unclassified non-coding RNA is filed under the name soil metagenome. Its description in RNAcentral is "partial contains 5.8S ribosomal RNA, internal transcribed spacer 2, and large subunit ribosomal RNA". The stretch from base 1 to 120 matches the Rfam family "5.8S ribosomal RNA", at positions 35 to 154 of the family's 154-position model. The record is from RNAcentral.